CAGGCUUAACACAUGCAAGUCGAGGGGCAGCAUUUUACUAGCAAUAGUAAAGAUGGCGACCGGCGCACGGGUGAGUAACACGUAUCCAACCUGCCGAUAACUCGGGGAUAGCCUUUCGAAAGAAAGAUUAAUAUCCGAUAGUAUAUUUUCUCCGCAUGGCGAGAAUAUUAAAGAAUUUCGGUUAUCGAUGGGGAUGCGUUCCAUUAGGCAGUUGGUGAGGUAACGGCUCACCAAACCUUCGAUGGAUAGGGGUUCUGAGAGGAAGGUCCCCCACAUUGGAACUGAGACACGGUCCAAACUCCUACGGGAGGCAGCAGUGAGGAAUAUUGGUCAAUGGGCGCGAGCCUGAACCAGCCAAGUAGCGUGAGGGAUGAAGGCUCUAUGGGUCGUAAACCUCUUUUAUAUGGGAAUAAAGUUUUCCACGUGUGGAAUUUUGUAUGUACCAUAUGAAUAAGGAUCGGCUAACUCCGUGCCAGCAGCCGCGGUAAUACGGAGGAUCCGAGCGUUAUCCGGAUUUAUUGGGUUUAAAGGGAGCGUAGGUGGAUUGUUAAGUCAGUUGUGAAAGUUUGCGGCUCAACCGUAAAAUUGCAGUUGAAACUGGCAGUCUUGAGUACAGUAGAGGUGGGCGGAAUUCGUGGUGUAGCGGUGAAAUGCUUAGAUAUCACGAAGAACUCCGAUUGCGGAGGCAGCUCACUAGACUGUCACUGACACUGAUGCUC
RNAcentral lists this ribosomal RNA (719 nucleotides) under uncultured Bacteroidales bacterium. RNAcentral's name for it is "bacterial SSU rRNA". It matches the Rfam family "Bacterial small subunit ribosomal RNA", at positions 43 to 754 of the family's 1533-position model. The record is from RNAcentral. Lineage: Bacteria; Pseudomonadati; Bacteroidota; Bacteroidia; Bacteroidales.